GACGAACGCUGGCGGCGUGCUUAACACAUGCAAGUCGAACGGAAAGGCCCUGCUUUUGUGGGGUGCUCGAGUGGCGAACGGGUGAGUAACACGUGAGUAACCUGCCCUUGACUUUGGGAUAACUUCAGGAAACUGGGGCUAAUACCGGAUAGGAGCUCCUGCUGCAUGGUGGGGGAUGGAAAGUUUCGGCGGUUGGGGAUGGACUCGCGGCUUAUCAGCUUGUUGGUGGGGUAGUGGCUUACCAAGGCUUUGACGGGUAGCCGGCCUGAGAGGGUGACCGGCCACAUUGGGACUGCGAUACGGCGCAGACUCCUACGGGAGGCAGCAGUGGGGAAUAUUGCACAAUGGGCGGAAGCCUGAUGCAGCAACGCCGCGUGCGGGAUGACGGCCUUCGGGUUGUAAACCGCUUUCGCCUGUGACGAAGCGUGAGUGACGGUAAUGGGUAAAGAAGCACCGGCUAACUACGUG
Molecule: ribosomal RNA, 468 nt
Filed under: uncultured bacterium
Lineage: Bacteria
Description: partial 16S ribosomal RNA
Rfam family: Bacterial small subunit ribosomal RNA
Source: RNAcentral